UACGUAGGGGGCUAGCGUUGUCCGGAUUUAUUGGGCGUAAAGAGCGUGUAGGCGGCCAGGUAGGUCUGCUGUGAAAACUCGAGGCUCAACCUCGAGACGUCGGCGGAAACCAUCUGGCUAGAGUCCGGAAGAGGAGAGUGGAAUUCCUGGUGUAGCGGUGAAAUGCGCAGAUAUCAGGAGGAAUACCGGUGGCGAAGGCGGCAUCCUGGACCGACAUUGACGCUGAGGAGCGAAAGCCAGGGGAGCAAACGGG
RNAcentral lists this ribosomal RNA (253 nucleotides) under uncultured bacterium. Its description in RNAcentral is "partial 16S ribosomal RNA". It matches the Rfam family "Bacterial small subunit ribosomal RNA", at positions 524 to 776 of the family's 1533-position model. The record is from RNAcentral.